RNAcentral lists this ribosomal RNA (387 nucleotides) under uncultured bacterium. RNAcentral's name for it is "partial 16S ribosomal RNA". It matches the Rfam family "Bacterial small subunit ribosomal RNA", at positions 524 to 918 of the family's 1533-position model. The record is from RNAcentral.
UACGUAGGUGGCAAGCGUUAUCCGGAAUCAUUGGGCGUAAAGGGUGCGUAGGCGGCUUCUUAAGUUUGUAGUGAAAUCGUAGGGCUCAACUCUAUCUAGCUACAAAAACUGGGAGGCUGGAGUGCGGUAGAGGCUAGUGGAAUUCCUAGUGUAGCGGUAAAAUGGGUAGAUAUUAGGAGGAACACCGGUGGCGAAGGCGACUAGCUGGGCCGUAACUGACGCUGAGGCACGAAAGCGUGGGGAGCAAAUAGGAUUAGAUACCCUAGUAGUCCACGCCGUAAACGAUGAAUACUAAGUGUUGGAGAAAUUCAGUGCUGCAGUUAACGCAAUAAGUAUUCCGCCUGGGGAGUAUGCACGCAAGUGUGAAACUCAAAUGAAUUGACGGGG